RNAcentral lists this microRNA (21 nucleotides) under Gallus gallus (chicken). RNAcentral's name for it is "MIR-739". Lineage: Eukaryota; Metazoa; Chordata; Aves; Galliformes; Phasianidae. The record is from RNAcentral.
AGGCCGAAGUGGAGCAGGGUU